UCCCGCCUUUAGCGAAGUGACACAGGCGACACCUGCUCGCUUGUGUCUGAUGCUGGAACUCGCACCUUCGCGCUGGUGAAGGUGCAGGCGCACCCGUGACUGGGGGACAGCAGAGGGUUCCCUUUCCUUGGAGCACGCGAUGCCUUAGAGUGGCAGCGGGCGGGCUGCGAGGAGCUCGGCCGGCUGCACUUGAAGGCGGGGUCGAGGGGCUGCAGCUGGUCAGGAGUUGCUGCUAAGUGGACUCGGAGUCGACGGCGUCCAGGUGUCGGAGAGGGCACCGGCGGGGACCUGUGUGCGAGCUGCGGGAACGCGGACGCCUCGCGGGGGGACGGCGGCAGAACGCAGAGCCGGCGAGCCUGCUCAGAACUGGUCCACCCCGGAGCCUCCCAGACCUGAGCGAGCCGGGGAACUCGAGGAGUCGCACGGCGGAGGCUGCUCUGUUGAAGGUGAAUCAUCGUGUCCAAUUGCCUUUCCCCAGAGAACCCGGGGGAGGGCGGGAGAGGGGUGGGGGACGUGUGAGCGCGCGCGUGUGUGAAAGGGAAAGACGACGCGGGGCAAGAGGAAAAGUCUUCGCUCGAGGCUAAAAGCAAACAAAUCGGAGAUGGAAUAAGACCGGCGAUUGCUGGAGCCCGCCUGGAUCCUCCUGGCAGUCUCGGGAGAGGAGCGCACCGGGCUCAGCGCCGAGGACAGCCAGGGCGACCGCGGGCGCCGCCGGGGGCUGCGGACACUUUGGCUUCCUUUCGCUCAGUCAACAAACCUUUUGAUUACUUUGACACUGUGGGAUAAAGACCAGAGACCAGAGACCGACCUCGCGCGCUGCACCUCCCACUUGCUUCGGGGAGGGGACCCCCCAGCUUGUAUGUGAAGACACUGCCGAGCCCCCCUUUAGCCUUCGGAGGAGGCAGCACCCACACGCGCACUCGGGGUCACACUCGCUCGCACACACUGGCGGACUUCAGGUCCCUAUGCCCCUGGAUGGUGCCAGCGGACCGGCAUCUCCGAAGCGAUGCAUGAGCGGUAAGGCUGGCGUCGGCCCGCGGAAGCUACAGGACCAUCGCUAGGUGCUGCCGCCACCGGGACGCCCGGCUGCAGGAUGAGUAAGAGAGACUUACAGAAAGCCACAAAAGGAAAGCUGCUGAUGAUCAUUUUUAUCGUGACCUUGUUGGGGAAAGCUGUUUCCAGCGCCAACCAUCAUAAAGCUCACCAUGUUAAGACGGGAACUUGUGAGGUGGUGGCCCUUCACAGAUGCUGUAACAAGAACAAGAUAGAAGAACGGUCCCAGACGGUCAAGUGCUCCUGCUUCCCUGGGCAGGUGGCAGGCACCACACGAGCGGCUCCAUCUUGUGUGGAUGCAUCCAUAGUGGAACAGAAAUGGUGGUGUCAUAUGCAGCCAUGCCUGGAGGGAGAGGAGUGUAAAGUCCUCCCAGAUCGGAAAGGGUGGAGCUGUUCCUCUGGAAACAAAGUGAAAACAACCAGGGCAAACGUGUAAAACUCUUCACGUUGGAAUGGAGAAGUAGAGAAGGUUUCUGCUGUGCCUCAUGACAAUUUUUGAUUUUCCGCAUUCAAAUUUAUUCUGGCUCCACGCUGGAGCAAUAGUUAUGGCGAAUCGUAGUGUUGGUCGGAUUCUGAGGAAGGGGCAGAAGUUUCCUUGAGAAGUAAAGAUUCAAAACAACUCCAGAAAUGAGCACCUGUCUCCGUUCAUUUCUCACAGAGCAGCAGGUAACCCAUUAACCACAAAAAAAUCAAGCAAUCCUCAAGACUGAGAUCAUGGAGACACACAUAGAAACUUGACUCCUGCAUUGAAAUCGAAGACUUUUAUACCUCUUAGAAGAGGGGCUUUUAAGCCUAUUUCCAAGGAAUUCCAUGACUUGCUAUCAGCUUCUUAUUGAAACCAAGACUUUAAAAAACUCUGAAGUGAACUUUGUGUCCUGAAGAAGACUGCAUCCGCUGCGAACUGGGCUUAGCUAAUUGCACUUCUGAGGGAAGCAGACAUUGCUCUCCACGAAUCUGGUGCAGAGUUGAUGUUCUGGGGGUGGUGACACCAGAGACUGCCACCUGUAGGGUUCCUGGCUUCAGCUGUGACUUCAGUUGUUUCUGAAGCUGUCUCUCAAGUGCACUGUCCUGUCAUAGAUGUGUUCCUGGUUCCUUUGUUCACUGUCUGAUAGGACUGUGCACAGCUUUGGUGAUGUUUCCUUUGCGAACUCCUCUGGCAUGGCGUAGACUGAGACAAUUUUAUUGGUAUUCUAAUCUUGAAACACUGAGAGCCUACAGGUUUUAACACCUCACGCUUGCCUUUGAGAAAGGGUUGGAAGUGUUUCUCUAUUGAAAACGAUAAUCAUUGGCAAGUCACCGUGAUCUGAAUACAUCAGUCAUAUAAGAAUGUAUAGACGUGCUGACAUGUUUCCCCAAGGCUAACACCUCACUGCUGCUCUCUGUCGGUUAGAGACAUAGCAGCUAGGAUUGGAUUCCCAUUACCACUGCACAGGACUCUGUGCCUCGCACACACCUUCCCUUCCAGUUUUUUGAAAGUGUACUUUUUUUCUGUUUUCCUUUUCUUUCCUUCACAGAACUCAUCAGUGUGUAGUAAGUUAGUAGGUAACCUUCCAUUUUAAAAACAUGCCAGGGAUGCAUGUGCUUUUCUAGUUUCUUAUCACUUAUUUUUAUUCUAGUAUUUUCUUAAACUAUCUUCUCUGUCUCAUUUCAAGAUCGUCUCUUGCUUGAUUCCAAUGACUGCUUGAAUGCUUAUAUAUUUGUUCAGUCUGUGGAUAGGAAAAAUUGUUCAUUUUCUUUUACUUCAAAGGUCUAAAUACUUGCUUAUCUUUGCUCCAAUCAAAUAAUAUCAUGGGCCAGUAUUUUGUCUAUAUUUUCUUGGCCAUCUUAAAACUUGUGAGUUUUAGUUCUUCAGAUGUCUUACAAAUAUUUAAAGGCCUUAAACAUUGAUUUACUUUUUUCUAAGUUAUUAUAGAAUGUAUAAUUUUAUACUGCAUUUAUUUUGUUUUACUUGUGAGUAGAGGGAGAGAAUACUGAGUACUGAGUUACAACUAUGUAGUAAUAUGGUGUAGGCCUGUAGAUUGAAGGAAUGUAAAGGCAAGAAUUUUUCAUGUCUUAAUUAUUUCAUCCUGAUCUAAAGAUGCUUCAUAGAUCAUCCUAUUAGGUGGUCCAUCAUUUUGGUAGACGAAUGAAGGUAUUUUGGACUUCUUGUACUGGUAAAACUAACGGACAAUGACAGUUAACCUGUUGGUUUCUGUGAUGGAGGAUCACAUAGGCUAGAAAAUUUUUAUGUUAGACUGUAGUGAUAUUCAAAUGUUUAGACACGAACUAGGCCCUUUACUUGGAAGAAAAAGGUUAAAAAUUCAUUUGGAAAACUAUAUUUUUUAAAUACUGUGCUAAAGUCAACUGCCUCAUAAAUACAUGGAAUGAAGUGAUUCCUGCCUCCCUUUUGAUUGUGAUAAAUCCAAUUAGGUGGUUCCAAGUGGAUUUUGCAAUAGGUCAAGACUACACCGAGUUGAAAUGAAAGGAAUAACAGUUGUGAUGGACUUCAAUGUCAAACAAAAUAUCAUUAAUUUCUUUGAAACAAAAUGGAAAACUAUAUCAUUUUAGACAUUAUGAAUUUAUCCUAGGUUUGUUUGAAAUUAUAGAUCAUGCUUCUCAUUUUGAAAACUAUGUCAUUUAAAACAGCGCUGGAAAUUCUGUAUUAUAGAAAAGUGUAAUACAUGCGUAUCAAUAGAAAAAAAAUAAAUGGAGUUUCAAAUAUAUGAACUAGGUUAUUCCCAGUAGAUUAAUGUUGUGAUUAUUCAGAAAAUGUGAAUAAAAUUGGAAUAUAAAAUCAACUCCCUUUCACAAGUACAGUUUGGAGAAUCUGAUUUCUUGUGUUCUGUUUUAAAGGCACCUUAAUUAGUAACCAAUACAAUUUCAAAUUUAGAAAGAAACUGACAAAUUAUCCAAUCAUCUUUUAAUAAAGUUCUGUGCUAAACUUUCUGUGCUAAGAAAUAGUAUUUGGCCUACUUCUUAGGAACCAUGAAAUCAAUAUAUCGACACUUGUGAUGCUCACCUGAAAGUCAACUAUAAACACAAAUGCAAAAUUCAUCUCACAAUGAAAGCUCUAUGCAUGGCUUACCUUAGGAAACACACUGGAGUAGAACAAUGUAUCAAUGCCAUGUCUCAAAUAUCCUUGAAAAUGCCUUUUUAUUCUGACAUUGUUUAAAAUUUACAAAAACUACAGAAGGCAGCAAAGGAGUCUCUGCCCCUUUGCCAUCUUUCCCCCACGGGUAACAUCUUUCAGAAUCAUAAUACAUCUGUCAAACAUGGAAGUUCACAUUGGUGUAAUACUAUGAGCUCAAAGGUUUGUUUACAUUUUUGUCAGUUUUCACAAGAACCAUGUAUAUAUACUUUCAUCUUUUUAAAACACACAGAUGCCAUUUUACCGUAGGAUACUGGAGUAUACAUUAGAUGGGGGGAGACUAUCAUGGCCAAAGAGUGACUGGU
This is an RNA transcript of Microtus ochrogaster (prairie vole), 4485 nucleotides long. It is a transcript of the gene named family with sequence similarity 19 member A2, C-C motif chemokine like, with no coding region annotated. NCBI's taxonomy places the organism in Eukaryota, Metazoa, Chordata, Mammalia, Rodentia, Cricetidae. The transcript is spliced from 6 exons. The record is from RefSeq and is a predicted model, not a curated record.